CUUGGGGGAAUGUACAAAAAACGUUUUUAUAAAAUUCUAGGAUAGAAAACUGAUAAUGACUAAUAUCUAUCUACCAGUCUUGACCAACUAACGUGCCAGCUGUCGCGGUAAGACGUUAAAGACAAGUGUUAUUCAUCUUUAUUUGGUUUAAAGGGUACCUAGACAGUAAAUCAAGCCUUAAUAGGAACUAAUUUUCUAGAGUUUUAUGGAAGAGGCUCGAAUAUCUAUAGCGAGGAGUGUUAAUAUACUGUGAUACCGGGUGGACGGGUAACGGCGUAGGCAAGUUUCUAUGUAAAAACUGACGUUGAGGGACGAAGCCCCGGGGAGCGAUAAGGAUUAGAUACCCCAAUAGUCCGGGGAGACAAUUAUGAGUGCCAUAGACUAAAUACGGUAGUUUAUAAAUGAAAGUGCAAGCAUUCCACCUCAAGACUAAAGCGGCGAACGCCCAAAUUGAAAUCAUUAGACCAUUAUCUGAAACCAGUAGUGAAGUAUGUUAUUUAAUUCGAUGAUCCGCGAAUAACCUUACCACGUUUUGAAUAUUUAAAGGUAAACAUACUUAUAUUUUACUAUUAAAUAUCUUACAAGUGUUGCACGGCUGUCUUUAGUUAAUGUCGUGAGACUUAGGUUAAUUCCAUAAAUUAGCGAAAACCCUUGCUUUAUUAUAUUAAAGCUGUUCUCCGUUAUAUUGGAUUAGAUAAUAGGGGAUUAAGACAAGUCAUCAUGGCCUUAAUAACGUG
Molecule: ribosomal RNA, 737 nt
Filed under: Verrucaria aquatilis
Lineage: Eukaryota; Fungi; Ascomycota; Eurotiomycetes; Verrucariales; Verrucariaceae
Description: SSU rRNA
Rfam family: Bacterial small subunit ribosomal RNA
Source: RNAcentral